Molecule: ribosomal RNA, 253 nt
Filed under: uncultured bacterium
Lineage: Bacteria
Description: partial 16S ribosomal RNA
Rfam family: Bacterial small subunit ribosomal RNA
Source: RNAcentral
UACGGAGGAGGCAAGCGUUAUCCGGAAUUACUGGGCGUAAAGCGUGCGCAGGCGGUUGUGCAAGACAGAUGUGAAAUCCCCGGGCUUAACCUGGGAAUUGCAUCUGUGACUGCAUAGCUAGAGUACGGUAGAGGGGGAUGGAAUUCCGCGUGUAGCAGUGAAAUGCGUAGAUAUGCGGAGGAACACCGAUGGCGAAGGCAAUCCCCUGGACCUGUACUGACGCUCAUGCACGAAAGCGUGGGGAGCAAACAGG